AAACCAACUGGGAUUACCUUAGUAACGGCGAGUGAAGCGGUAAAAGCUCAAAUUUGAAAUCUGGUACUUUCAGUGCCCGAGUUGUAAUUUGUAGAAUUUGUCUUUGAUUAGGUCCUUGUCUAUGUUCCUUGGAACGGGACGUCAUAGAGGGUGAGAAUCCCGUUUGGCGAGGAUACCUUUUCUCUGUAAGACUUUUUCGAAGAGUCGAGUUGUUUGGGAAUGCAGCUCAAAGUGGGUGGUAAAUUCCAUCUAAAGCUAAAUAUUGGCGAGAGACCGAUAGCGAACAAGUACAGUGAUGGAAAGAUGAAAAGAACUUUGAAAAGAGAGUGAAAAAGUACGUGAAAUUGUUGAAAGGGAAGGGCAUUUGAUCAGACAUGGUGUUUUUGCAUGCACUCGCCUCUCGUGGGCUUGGGCCUCUCAAAAAUUUCACUGGGCCAACAUCAAUUCUGGCAGCAGGAUAAAUCAUUAAGAAUGUAGCUACUUCGGUAGUGUUAUAGCUUUUUGGAAUACUGUUAGCCGGGAUUGA
This 526-nucleotide ribosomal RNA is filed under the name uncultured Hanseniaspora. RNAcentral's name for it is "eukaryotic LSU rRNA". It matches the Rfam family "Eukaryotic large subunit ribosomal RNA", at positions 62 to 590 of the family's 3401-position model. Lineage: Eukaryota; Fungi; Ascomycota; Saccharomycetes; Saccharomycodales; Saccharomycodaceae. The record is from RNAcentral.